Molecule: ribosomal RNA, 532 nt
Filed under: Duganella sp. BJB475
Lineage: Bacteria; Pseudomonadati; Pseudomonadota; Betaproteobacteria; Burkholderiales; Oxalobacteraceae
Description: bacterial SSU rRNA
Rfam family: Bacterial small subunit ribosomal RNA
Source: RNAcentral
GAGAGAUUGGGGAGUGCUCGAAAGAGAACCAGUACACAGGUGCUGCAUGGCUGUCGUCAGCUCGUGUCGUGAGAUGUUGGGUUAAGUCCCGCAACGAGCGCAACCCUUGUCAUUAGUUGCUACGAAAGAGCACUCUAAUGAGACUGCCGGUGACAAACCGGAGGAAGGUGGGGAUGACGUCAAGUCCUCAUGGCCCUUAUGGGUAGGGCUUCACACGUCAUACAAUGGUACAUACAGAGGGCCGCCAACCCGCGAGGGGGAGCUAAUCCCAGAAAGUGUAUCGUAGUCCGGAUUGUAGUCUGCAACUCGACUGCAUGAAGUUGGAAUCGCUAGUAAUCGCGGAUCAGCAUGUCGCGGUGAAUACGUUCCCGGGUCUUGUACACACCGCCCGUCACACCAUGGGAGCGGGUUUUACCAGAAGUAGGUAGCUUAACCGCAAGGAGGGCGCUUACCACGGUAGGAUUCGUGACUGGGGUGAAGUCGUAACAAGGUAGCCGUAUCGGAAGGUGCGGCUGGAUCACCUCCUUUCUAG